GCCACUUUGUGGUUCAUGACUGGGGUGAAGUCGUAACAAGGUAGCGCUAGGGGAACCUGGCGCUGGAUCACCUCCUUACACGAUGAU
This 87-nucleotide ribosomal RNA is filed under the name Vibrio cholerae. RNAcentral describes it as "partial 16S ribosomal RNA". The stretch from base 1 to 78 matches the Rfam family "Bacterial small subunit ribosomal RNA", at positions 1456 to 1533 of the family's 1533-position model. Lineage: Bacteria; Pseudomonadati; Pseudomonadota; Gammaproteobacteria; Vibrionales; Vibrionaceae. The record is from RNAcentral.